Molecule: ribosomal RNA, 768 nt
Filed under: uncultured bacterium
Lineage: Bacteria
Description: bacterial SSU rRNA
Rfam family: Bacterial small subunit ribosomal RNA
Source: RNAcentral
GAGUUUGAUCCUGGCUCAGGACGAACGCUGGCGGCGUGCUUAACACAUGCAAGUCGAACGGAAAGGCCCUUCGGGGUACUCGAGUGGCGAACGGGUGAGUAACACGUGGGUGAUCUGCCCUGCACUCUGGGAUAAGCCUGGGAAACUGGGUCUAAUACCGGAUAGGACCACACACUUCAUGGUGAGUGGUGCAAAGCUUUUGCGGUGUGGGAUGAGCCCGCGGCCUAUCAGCUUGUUGGUGGGGUAAUGGCCCACCAAGGCGACGACGGGUAGCCGGCCUGAGAGGGUGACCGGCCACACUGGGACUGAGAUACGGCCCAGACUCCUACGGGAGGCAGCAGUGGGGAAUAUUGCACAAUGGGCGCAAGCCUGAUGCAGCGACGCCGCGUGAGGGAUGACGGCCUUCGGGUUGUAAACCUCUUUCAGUAGGGACGAAGCGAAAGUGACGGUACCUACAGAAGAAGGACCGGCCAACUACGUGCCAGCAGCCGCGGUAAUACGUAGGGUCCGAGCGUUGUCCGGAAUUACUGGGCGUAAAGAGCUCGUAGGUGGUUUGUCGCGUUGUUCGUGAAAACUCACAGCUUAACUGUGGGCGUGCGGGCGAUACGGGCAGACUAGAGUACUGCAGGGGAGACUGGAAUUCCUGGUGUAGCGGUGGAAUGCGCAGAUAUCAGGAGGAACACCGGUGGCGAAGGCGGGUCUCUGGGCAGUAACUGACGCUGAGGAGCGAAAGCGUGGGUAGCGAACAGGAUUAGAUACCCUGGUAGU